This is a long non-coding RNA of Gossypium raimondii (Peruvian cotton), 448 nucleotides long. RefSeq lists it as uncharacterized. NCBI's taxonomy places the organism in Eukaryota, Viridiplantae, Streptophyta, Magnoliopsida, Malvales, Malvaceae. The transcript is spliced from 2 exons. The record is from RefSeq and is a predicted model, not a curated record.
CUUCUUCAUUCUUGCCCAAAUUUGAAAGGAAGAAAACCCUUUUGAGUUUCAAAACAUUCGGCCAUUGAUUGGCGUUACCUUGCGAAAUACGUCAAACCAAAUUAUUUCGAAGCUCUCACUAUCCUAUCAUCGAUUUGGUAGCUUUUUAAUCACUUUGAGUUUUGGAAUUGUGACAUGUAUAUAGAGAUUAGAAGUUAAGAAAGUGGCCACUAUCUUAAUCAUUUGGUAUGCUUGAUAAUUGUGUCAAAUAUUGAGUUGUUGAAAAGUUGGUAUGUACCAAAUGGUGUAUGAACUAGCUGUUGUUUGAUGUGGUUUAGUUGAUGAUUUUAAAAUUGAAUAUGUCAUUAGAUAUGCUAGAAGUUGAGUAUUGAAGAAAUCUAAGUUGAACGAAUAGAUGUGCAUAUAUGCUUAAGUGAUUGGAAUGGAAAUGAAAUGGCAUGAUUCUAUA